UACAGAGGUCCCAAGCGUUGUUCGGAUUCACUGGGCGUAAAGGGUGCGUAGGCGGUCGGGUAAGUCUGUUGUGAAAUCUCACAGCUUAACUGUGAAACUGCAUUGGAUACUAUCCGGCUAGAGGAAUGGAGGGGAGACUGGAAUACUUGGUGUAGCAGUGAAAUGCGUAGAUAUCAAGUGGAACACCAGUGGCGAAGGCGAGUCUCUGGACAUUACCUGACGCUGAGGCACGAAAGCGAGGGGAGCAAACGGG
This 253-nucleotide ribosomal RNA is filed under the name uncultured bacterium. Its description in RNAcentral is "partial 16S ribosomal RNA". It matches the Rfam family "Bacterial small subunit ribosomal RNA", at positions 524 to 776 of the family's 1533-position model. The record is from RNAcentral.